Molecule: ribosomal RNA, 442 nt
Filed under: uncultured bacterium
Lineage: Bacteria
Description: bacterial SSU rRNA
Rfam family: Bacterial small subunit ribosomal RNA
Source: RNAcentral
AAUCAACGUUGGCGGCGCGCUUAACACAUGCAAGUCGAACGAGAAAGUGGAGCAAUCCAUGAGUAAAGUGGCGUACGGGUGAGUAACACGUGGGUAUCCAUUCUUUGGUGGGGAAUAACUCUGGGAAACCGGAGCUAAUACCGCAUAAGUCCGAGAGGAGAAAGGUGAAAAUCGCCGAAGAGGGAGCCCGCGGCUGAUUAGCUAGUUGGUGAGGUAACGGCCCACCAAGGCGAAGAUCGGAGCCGGCCUGAGAGGGCACACGGCCACACUGGCACUGAGACACGGGCCAGACUCCUACGGGAGGCAGCAGUGGGAAUCUUGCACAAUGGGGGAAACCCUGAUGCAGCGACGCCGCGUGAACGAUGAAGCCCUUCGGGUGUAAAGUUCUUUCGGCAGGAACGAUAAUGACGGUACCUGAAGAAGAAGCUGCGGCUAACUACGU